GGGUCGGUUCGGCCGGGUUUCACACAGGUGUUGCAUGGCUGUCGUCAGCUCGUGUCGUGAGAUGUUGGGUUAAGUCCCGCAACGAGCGCAACCCUCAUCCUUAGUUACCAUCAGGUAAUGCUGRGGACUUUAAGGAAACUGCCAGUGAUAAGCUGGAGGAAGGUGGGGAUGAUGUCAAGUCAUCAUGGCCYUUAUGGAGUGGGCUACACACGUGCUACAAUGGUGKCUACAAUGGGCUGCAARGUNCGCRAGSCUAAGCUAAUCCCNUAAAAGMCAUCUCAGUUCGGAUUGUACUCUGCAACUCGAGURCAUGAAGUUGGAAUCGCUAGUAAUCGUGGAUCAGCAYGCCACGGUGAAUACGUUCUCGGGUCUUGUACACACUGCCCGUCACGCCAUGG
RNAcentral lists this ribosomal RNA (398 nucleotides) under Wolbachia endosymbiont of Phyllonorycter cerasicolella. RNAcentral describes it as "partial 16S ribosomal RNA". It matches the Rfam family "Bacterial small subunit ribosomal RNA", at positions 1012 to 1407 of the family's 1533-position model. The record is from RNAcentral. Lineage: Bacteria; Pseudomonadati; Pseudomonadota; Alphaproteobacteria; Rickettsiales; Anaplasmataceae.